RNAcentral lists this ribosomal RNA (717 nucleotides) under uncultured bacterium. RNAcentral describes it as "bacterial SSU rRNA". It matches the Rfam family "Bacterial small subunit ribosomal RNA", at positions 774 to 1495 of the family's 1533-position model. The record is from RNAcentral.
CGGAUUAGAUACCCUGGUAGUCUUGGCCAUAAACGAUGUUCACUAGGUGUCGGGGGGAUUCCUUCGGUGCCGCAGCUAACGCAUUAAGUGAACCGCCUGGGGACUACGGCCGCAAGGUUGAAACUCAAAGGAAUUGGCGGGGGCCCGCACAAGCGGUGGAGCAUGUGGCUUAAUUCGAUGCAACGCGAAGAACCUUACCAGGGCUUGACAUGCACCUGCAAGCGCCCCAAAAGGCGUCGCCUUCGAGGGUGGUGCACAGGUGGUGCAUGGCUGUCGUCAGCUCGUGUUGUGAAAUGUUGGGUUAAGUCCCGCAACGAGCGCAACCCUCAUGUUCUGUUACCAGCGGAUAAUGCCGGGGACUCGGAACAAACUGCCUCUGUAAAGAGGAGGAAGGUGGGGAUGACGUCAAGUCAUCAUGCCCCUUACGCCCUGGGCUGCACACAUGCUACAAUGGCCGGUACAAAGAGCUGCAAAGCCGCGAGGUGGAGCAAAUCUCAAAAAGCUGGUCUCAGUUCGGAUGGCAGGCUGCAACUCGCCUGCCUGAAGUCGGAAUCGCUAGUAACCGCCGGUCAGCAAUACGGCGGUGAAUACGUUCCCGGGCCUUGCACACACCGCCCGUCACGCCACGAAAGUCGGUCUUACCCGAAGUCAGUGCGCUAACCGCAAGGGAGCAGCUGCCGAAGGUAGGGCUGAUGAUUGGGACGAAGUCGUAACAAG